RNAcentral lists this ribosomal RNA (560 nucleotides) under Cladosporium herbarum. RNAcentral's name for it is "eukaryotic LSU rRNA". The stretch from base 195 to 348 matches the Rfam family "5.8S ribosomal RNA". The record is from RNAcentral. Lineage: Eukaryota; Fungi; Ascomycota; Dothideomycetes; Cladosporiales; Cladosporiaceae.
CAAGGUCUCCGUAGGUGAACCUGCGGAGGGAUCAUUACAAGAACGCCCGGGCUUCGGCAGCUGGUUAUUCAUAACCCUUUGUUGUCCGACUCUGUUGCCUCCGGGGCGACCCUGCCUUCGGGCGGGGGCUCCGGGUGGACACUUCAAACUCUUGCGUAACUUUGCAGUCUGAGUAAACUUAAUUAAUAAAUUAAAACUUUUAACAACGGAUCUCUUGGUUCUGGCAUCGAUGAAGAACGCAGCGAAAUGCGAUAAGUAAUGUGAAUUGCAGAAUUCAGUGAAUCAUCGAAUCUUUGAACGCACAUUGCGCCCCCUGGUAUUCCGGGGGGCAUGCCUGUUCGAGCGUCAUUUCACCACUCAAGCCUCGCUUGGUAUUGGGCAACGCGGUCCGCCGCGUGCCUCAAAUCGUCCGGCUGGGUCUUCUGUCCCCUAAGCGUUGUGGAAACUAUUCGCUAAAGGGUGUUCGGGAGGGCUACGCCGUAAAACAACCCCAUUUCUAAGGUUGACCUCGGAUCAGGUAGGGAUACCCGCUGAACUUAAGCAUAUCAAUAAGCGGAGGA